RNAcentral lists this ribosomal RNA (600 nucleotides) under Kocuria sp. SS121. RNAcentral describes it as "bacterial SSU rRNA". It matches the Rfam family "Bacterial small subunit ribosomal RNA", at positions 26 to 639 of the family's 1533-position model. Lineage: Bacteria; Bacillati; Actinomycetota; Actinomycetes; Micrococcales; Micrococcaceae. The record is from RNAcentral.
CGGAUAUUGUUGCGGGGGCUCUGUACAACAUAGAAGUCGAACGCUGAAGCUCCCAGCUUGCUGGGGGUGGAUGAGUGGCGAACGGGUGAGUAAUACGUGAGUGACCUUCCCUUGACUCUGGGAUAAGCCCGGGAAACUGGGUCUAAUACCGGAUAUUCACUUCCUCCUGCCUGGGAGGGGGUGGAAAGGGUUCUGUACUGGUCUUGGAUGGGCUCACGGCCUAUCAGCUUGUUGGUGAGGUAAUGGCUCACCAAGGCGACGACGGGUAGCCGGCCUGAGAGGGUGACCGGCCACACUGGGACUGAGACACGGCCCAGACUCCUACGGGAGGCAGCAGUGGGGAAUAUUGCACAAUGGGCGCAAGCCUGAUGCAGCGACGCCGCGGGAGGAAUGACGGCUUUCGGGUUGUACACCUCUUUCAGCAGGGAAGACGCGAAAGUGACGGUACGUGCAGAAGAUGCGCCGGCUAACUACGUGCCAGCAGCCGCGAUAUACGUAGGGCGCAGGCGUUGUCCGGUAUUAUGGGCGUAAGAGCUCGUAGGCGGCUGUCGCGUCUGCUGUGAAGCCUGGGCUACCCAAGGUGUGCAGGGAUACGGGCAG